GGGCAGUUUUUAUCAAUAUUAAUUGGGUCAGAGUUUAUUGUGUGGACAUUUUGUGGGGUGAGGAUUUACUGAUACAAAUCUGAUUGCUAAAUUACAAGCUUCAUGAGUCUUGAUUUUAACAGAUUCUGGGAGUUGUGACUAUAACCACAGGGGGUGGAUGGCUGAAUGGGGCUGGCGUGGUGGCAACCUGCGCCAUGGGAACUAGAAGUAUGGUCACUUCUAGGGAUAGCAACAGCACCUAGAUAGCCGCAGGGCUCAGAGAGUAGCGGGCAGCAGCAUGGGAUGGACAUUGGAAACCACAGAAACAAUAGCAACAAAACGUUGAAAGCUGUGAAGUAAACAACUCAAGUAGCAUCUGCCUUAGCAGAUUUGAGAAACAAGUGUUGGUAUCAGGAACCCCUUUUACCUCCGAACCCAGCGAUGACAGCGACCCGCACAUCUGUUGCCAUGGCAACGGCCAUACAUUCCCAGCCUCCACUGGUUUAGCUCCUACCUUUACCUGCAGUUACAUCACGGUUUAAAUAAAAAGCGGCCCCUUCCUG
Non-coding RNA from Rattus norvegicus (Norway rat), 542 nucleotides. NCBI's taxonomy places the organism in Eukaryota, Metazoa, Chordata, Mammalia, Rodentia, Muridae. The record is from RefSeq and is a predicted model, not a curated record.